RNAcentral lists this ribosomal RNA (492 nucleotides) under uncultured bacterium. Its description in RNAcentral is "partial 16S ribosomal RNA". It matches the Rfam family "Bacterial small subunit ribosomal RNA", at positions 30 to 507 of the family's 1533-position model. The record is from RNAcentral.
AUUGAACGCUGGCGGCAUGCUUUAUACAUGCAAGUCGAACGGUAACAGGCCUUCGGGUGCUGACGAGUGGCGAACGGGUGAGUAAUGCAUCGGAACGUGCCCAGAGGUGGGGGAUAACGCAGCGAAAGCUGUGCUAAUACCGCAUGUGAUCUGAGGAUGAAAGCGGGGGACCAAGCAGCAAUGUUUGGCCUCGCGCCUCUGGAGCGGCCGAUGUCAGAUUAGGUAGUUGGUGGGGUAAAGGCCUACCAAGCCGACGAUCUGUAGCUGGUCUGAGAGGACGACCAGCCACACUGGGACUGAGACACGGCCCAGACUCCUACGGGAGGCAGCAGUGGGGAAUUUUGGACAAUGGGCGCAAGCCUGAUCCAGCAAUGCCGCGUGCGGGAAGAAGGCCUUCGGGUUGUAAACCGCUUUUGUACGGAACGAAAAGGCUCUGGCUAAUACCUGGGGCUGAUGACGGUACCGGAAGAAUAAGCACCGGCUAACUACGUG